AAUUCGAUUGAGUUUGAUCAUGGCUCAGGACGAACGCUGGCGGUGUGCUUAACACAUGCAAGUCAAGGACCGUAGCAAUACGGAACUGGCGCACGGGUGCGUAACGCGUAGGCAAUCUGCCCUUUGGGGGAAAACAACCCGUCGAAAGACGGGCUAAAAUUCCGUAACAUCACGAGAAGGCAUCUUUUUGUGAUCAAAUUUUCCAAAGGAUGAGCCUGCGUCUGAUUAGUUAGUUGGCGGGGUAACGGCCCACCAAGACGACGAUCAGUAGCUGGUCUGAGAGGAUGAUCAGCCACAUUGGGACUGAGAUACGGCCCAGACUCCUACGGGAGGCAGCAGUGAGGAAUAUUGCUCAAUGGAGGAAACUCUGAAGCAGCAACACCGCGUGAGGGAUGAAGGAGCUUUGCUUCGUAAACCUCUGUAGUCGGGGACAAAUGGAUGGUUACUACCAUCGUGAUGGUACCCGAAAAGUAAGGAACGGCUAACUACGUGCCAGCAGCCGCGGUAAUACGUAGGAUCCAAGCGUUGUCCGGAUUUACUGGGUGUAAAGGGUGCGCAGGCGGAUUAGUAAGUCAGAGGUGAAAUCUCGUCGCUCAACGACGAAACUGCCUUUGAUACUAUUAAUCUUGAGUACGGUAGAGAUUUGUGGAAUUCCGAGUGUAGCAGUGAAAUGUGUAGAUAUUCGGAAGAACACCAGAGGCGAAGGCAGCAAAUUGGGCCGAUACUGA
RNAcentral lists this ribosomal RNA (728 nucleotides) under uncultured bacterium. RNAcentral describes it as "bacterial SSU rRNA". It matches the Rfam family "Bacterial small subunit ribosomal RNA", at positions 1 to 743 of the family's 1533-position model. The record is from RNAcentral.